RNAcentral lists this ribosomal RNA (532 nucleotides) under uncultured bacterium. RNAcentral describes it as "partial 16S ribosomal RNA". It matches the Rfam family "Bacterial small subunit ribosomal RNA", at positions 33 to 541 of the family's 1533-position model. The record is from RNAcentral.
AGUGAACGCUGGCGGUAGGCCUAACACAUGCAAGUCGAACGGCAGCACAGUAAGAGCUUGCUCUUACGGGUGGCGAGUGGCGGACGGGUGAGGAAUACAUCGGAAUCUACUUUUUCGUGGGGGAUAACGUAGGGAAACUUACGCUAAUACCGCAUACGACCUACGGGUGAAAGCAGGGGAUCUUCGGACCUUGCGCGAUUGAAUGAGCCGAUGUCGGAUUAGCUAGUUGGCGGGGUAAAGGCCCACCAAGGCGACGAUCCGUAGCUGGUCUGAGAGGAUGAUCCGCUGCAGUGGAACUAGCACACGCUCGAGACUGCUAGGAGAGACAGCCGGGGGGAAUGUCGGACAAGACGCACAGGUAUGAGCCCGACACACCGCGUGGGAGAAGAAGGCUCGCGGGUUGUAACGCACUUUGGUUGAAAAAAAAAAGCAGGAGUUCAAUCCCCCGCUGGUCUGACGGUACCAAAAGAAUACGCACCGGCUCACUGCGGGACAGCAGCCGAGGUAAUAAUAGGAAGAGCCACGUCUGAUC